RNAcentral lists this ribosomal RNA (192 nucleotides) under uncultured bacterium. Its description in RNAcentral is "partial 16S ribosomal RNA". It matches the Rfam family "Bacterial small subunit ribosomal RNA", at positions 338 to 524 of the family's 1533-position model. The record is from RNAcentral.
CCUACGGGAGGCAGCAGCCAGUAGGGAAUAUUGGUCAAUGGAUGGAAGUCUGAACCAGCCAUGCCGCGUGCAGGAAGAAGGCCUUCUGGGUUGUAAACUGCUUUUGCCAGGGGCUAAAAAGCUCAUGCGUGAGAAAUUGAAAGUACCUGGUGAAUAAGCCACGGCUAACUACGUGCCAGCAGCCGCGGUAAU